Molecule: non-coding RNA, 526 nt
Organism: Microcebus murinus (gray mouse lemur)
Lineage: Eukaryota; Metazoa; Chordata; Mammalia; Primates; Cheirogaleidae
Source: RefSeq, a predicted model, not a curated record
CGCAUGCGCAGUUUGCAGUGGGGUUCGCGCUCCUGUGAGGCUCUGAUGCCGCUCACCUGACGUGGGCCCAGGGCUCCCGACGCCGUGGGGACAUGCUUGCGCUAGCCUGCAGGUCCCAGGAGGAAGAUGAGAGGCAGAGAGUUGAGCCACCCAGCCGAGCAUCGCCAGCCAAGCCCAGACCAGAUCAGCUGUUCUCCAGGUGACCCACGGACACAUGAGCGAGUCCAGGAAAGAUCUGCAGAGUUGCUUAGCCUAGGUCAGCCAACCUGCAGAUACCUGAGAAAUUACAAGGGAUUCCUGUUUCAAGCCACUGAAUAUGGAGGCAGUUUAUUAUAUAGCAGUAGUACUUUUUCCCAUCAUAGAAAUUAUAAACCUUAUUAAAAUCCUUGGAUUACUUCUCUUUUGAGGAUUGUAUAUUCUGAUACAAUUUAAACUGUGCCUAUCUUGCUGCCUAUAUUAUUUCAAGUUUUAGCACAGUGUGUUGGUACACAAUGGAUACCUAUUAAAUAAGUAAUUGUUGAAUGAA